RNAcentral lists this ribosomal RNA (195 nucleotides) under Triticum aestivum (bread wheat). RNAcentral describes it as "partial small subunit ribosomal RNA". Lineage: Eukaryota; Viridiplantae; Streptophyta; Magnoliopsida; Poales; Poaceae. The record is from RNAcentral.
AUGGAUGUUCAACCCGGGUCACGGACAAGAUUGGCUGAUCUUUCGGGCACUCCUGACCAGAUAAGCAGAGCUGAGCAGUUGAUAAGUGAUGUUUUUGCAAAGGCUGAUGCUGGCUCAUUUGGCACUAUCUCUAGUUGUGUUGAGCAAUUCCAGAUGCAAAUUGCUAACAACAAGGUAAGCUGGCUGCUUUCUUGA